UACGAAGGGGGCUAGCGUUGUUCGGAAUUACUGGGCGUAAAGCGCACGUAGGCGGCCUUGUAAGUUGGGGGUGAAAUCCCGGGGCUCAACCUCGGAAUUGCCUUCAAGACUGCUUGGCUCGAGUUCGGGAGAGGUGAGUGGAAUUCCCAGUGUAGAGGUGAAAUUCGUAGAGAUUGGGAAGAACACCAGUGGCGAAGGCGGCUCACUGGCCCGUAACUGACGCUGAGGUGCGAAAGCGUGGGGAGCAAACAGG
RNAcentral lists this ribosomal RNA (253 nucleotides) under uncultured bacterium. Its description in RNAcentral is "partial 16S ribosomal RNA". It matches the Rfam family "Bacterial small subunit ribosomal RNA", at positions 524 to 776 of the family's 1533-position model. The record is from RNAcentral.